AAAUUGAAGAGUUUGAUCAUGGCUCAGAUUGAACGCUGGCGGCAGGCCUAACACAUGCAAGUCGAACGGUAACAGGAAGAAGCUUGCUUCUUUGCUGACGAGUGGCGGACGGGUGAGUAAUGUCUGGGAAACUGCCUGAUGGAGGGGGAUAACUACUGGAAACGGUAGCUAAUACCGCAUAACGUCGCAAGACCAAAGAGGGGGACCUUCGGGCCUCUUGCCAUCGGAUGUGCCCAGAUGGGAUUAGCUUGUUGGUGGGGUAACGGCUCACCAAGGCGACGAUCCCUAGCUGGUCUGAGAGGAUGACCAGCCACACUGGAACUGAGACACGGUCCAGACUCCUACGGGAGGCAGCAGUGGGGAAUAUUGCACAAUGGGCGCAAGCCUGAUGCAGCCAUGCCGCGUGUAUGAAGAAGGCCUUCGGGUUGUAAAGUACUUUCAGCGGGGAGGAAGGGAGUAAAGUUAAUACCUUUGCUCAUUGACGUUACCCGCAGAAGAAGCACCGGCUAACUCCGUGCCAGCAGCCGCGGUAAUACGGAGGGUGCAAGCGUUAAUCGGAAUUACUGGGCGUAAAGCGCACGCAGGCGGUUUGUUAAGUCAGAUGUGAAAUCCCCGGGCUCAACCUGGGAACUGCAUCUGAUACUGGCAAGCUUGAGUCUCGUAGAGGGGGGUAGAAUUCCAGGUGUAGCGGUGAAAUGCGUAGAGAUCUGGAGGAAUACCGGUGGCGAAGGCGGCCCCCUGGACGAAGACUGACGCUCAGGUGCGAAAGCGUGGGGAGCAAACAGGAUUAGAUACCCUGGUAGUCCACGCCGUAAACGAUGUCGACUUGGAGGUUGUGCCCUUGAGGCGUGGCUUCCGGAGCUAACGCGUUAAGUCGACCGCCUGGGGAGUACGGCCGCAAGGUUAAAACUCAAAUGAAUUGACGGGGGCCCGCACAAGCGGUGGAGCAUGUGGUUUAAUUCGAUGCAACGCGAAGAACCUUACCUGGUCUUGACAUCCACAGAACUUUCCAGAGAUGGAUUGGUGCCUUCGGGAACUGUGAGACAGGUGCUGCAUGGCUGUCGUCAGCUCGUGUUGUGAAAUGUUGGGUUAAGUCCCGCAACGAGCGCAACCCUUAUCCUUUGUUGCCAGCGGUCCGGCCGGGAACUCAAAGGAGACUGCCAGUGAUAAACUGGAGGAAGGUGGGGAUGACGUCAAGUCAUCAUGGCCCUUACGACCAGGGCUACACACGUGCUACAAUGGCGCAUACAAAGAGAAGCGACCUCGCGAGAGCAAGCGGACCUCAUAAAGUGCGUCGUAGUCCGGAUUGGAGUCUGCAACUCGACUCCAUGAAGUCGGAAUCGCUAGUAAUCGUGGAUCAGAAUGCCACGGUGAAUACGUUCCCGGGCCUUGUACACACCGCCCGUCACACCAUGGGAGUGGGUUGCAAAAGAAGUAGGUAGCUUAACCUUCGGGAGGGCGCUUACCACUUUGUGAUUCAUGACUGGGGUGAAGUCGUAACAAGGUAACCGUAGGGGAACCUGCGGUUGGAUCACCUCCUUA
This 1542-nucleotide ribosomal RNA is filed under the name Escherichia coli. Its description in RNAcentral is "bacterial SSU rRNA". It matches the Rfam family "Bacterial small subunit ribosomal RNA". RNAcentral also lists the same sequence under 25 other names. Lineage: Bacteria; Pseudomonadati; Pseudomonadota; Gammaproteobacteria; Enterobacterales; Enterobacteriaceae. The record is from RNAcentral.